CCUACGGGAGGCAGCAGUGAGGAAUAUUGGUCAAUGGACGAGAGUCUGAACCAGCCAAGUAGCGUGAAGGAUGACUGCCCUAUGGGUUGUAAACUUCUUUUAUAUGGGAAUAAAAUGUUCCACGUGUGGGUUUUUGUAUGUACCAUAUGAAUAAGGAUCGGCUAACUCCGUGCCAGCAGCCGCGGUAAUACGGAGGAUCCGAGCGUUAUCCGGAUUUAUUGGGUUUAAAGGGAGCGUAGAUGGAUUGUUAAGUCAGUUGUGAAAGUUUGCGGCUCAACCGUAAAAUUGCAGUUGAAACUGGCAGUCUUGAGUACAGUAGAGGUGGGCGGAAUUCGUGGUGUAGCGGUGAAAUGCUUAGAUAUCACGAAGAACUCCGAUUGCGAAGGCAGCUCACUGGACUGCAACUGACACUGAGGCUCGAAAGUGUGGGUAUCAAACAGGAUUAGAUACCCCAGUAGUC
This 460-nucleotide ribosomal RNA is filed under the name uncultured bacterium. RNAcentral describes it as "partial 16S ribosomal RNA". It matches the Rfam family "Bacterial small subunit ribosomal RNA", at positions 338 to 795 of the family's 1533-position model. The record is from RNAcentral.